This is an RNA transcript of Ictalurus furcatus (blue catfish), 4337 nucleotides long. It is a transcript of the gene named LYL1 basic helix-loop-helix family member, with no coding region annotated. The transcript is spliced from 6 exons. NCBI's taxonomy places the organism in Eukaryota, Metazoa, Chordata, Actinopteri, Siluriformes, Ictaluridae. The record is from RefSeq and is a predicted model, not a curated record.
UGUGUGUGUGUGUGUGUGUGUGUGUGUGUGUGUGUGUGUGUGUGUGUGUGUGUGUGUGUGUGUGUGUGUGUGUGUGUGUGUGUGUGUGUGUGUGUUGGGGGGCAUAAGGGGGGUAUAUUUCCUUAUCUAAGGUCCGCAGGCAGUUUUUGAGUCUCUUAUCAGCACUCACCAUAUUGUAUGAGUACAUCCUCCUGUCCAGCAGAGAGCGGAAAACUGUUCCCUCUCUCCCUCCCUUCUCUCUCUCUCUCUCUGCCUGUGUCUCUCACUCUGUCUGUCUUUCUCUCUCUCUCACCCAUCACUCUCACUGUCUCUCUCUCUCCCUUUUUCUGUAAAGUCCAGUACAUUCCCAUCCAAUGGACACCAACUGGAGCACAAUGUCUUCUUUGGGAUUAGAAGGUAAGGGCAAGAAAGAGUAUGGAAAGAGAGAGAAACGAAAGAGCGGUGGAACGGCGACUGGAAGCUAAAUCCAUCACCUGCAUUUACAAAAUAGGUUCUCAGUGAUACACUAGAACCCAUAGAACCUUAAAUAUAAGUUAAUGUUUCUUUCUGAUUUGUUCUUUUGUACAUAGUCACUGAUAUGAGACAUCAGCCGUUCAUUUUAGUAUUUUUGCUUUAAGGACAGGAAGGUGAACAUAAGAAAACUCAGAGAGAGAGAGAAAGAGAGAGAGAGAGAGCGACAGAGAGAGAGAGAGAGAGAGAGAGAGAAAGUUAGUGAGGAGGGAUUAGAAGGUGUGAUGGAAUAGGACGUUGCGUUUGUCACGCAGAAGACAGGCACUCGAGGACAUGAGGACACACUCCAAUAGUGGAGAGUCCAAUGCAAGUGUGUGUAAAGGUGUGAUCAACAUUCUAUCCACAAACAUGACCCCCUCUGAGUGGCGUUUGAACUGAAAAUAAAACUAAAUGCACCCUGAUGAGACUGACGACAAGGGAUCUACAGACAAAACAUCGCAGAUUGCCUGACUAAGGCAUAUGAUUGAGUAUUCGCAAGGAAGAAUAACAAAUCUUCUGAGAAAUGUCAUCAACAUGCACUGAUCCACACAAGCCAAGACGCAAAGACGUUUAACACUUUUGAGUGUGUGAGGGCAUAGAACACACAGAGUUUGAACUCUCUAGCUAGAGAGAGAGAGAGACAGAAAGAAGAAGACCAUGAUGGAGAAGUUGGAGUCCACUGUAUCCCCAUCCCCUGCUUUGUCAAUGACUGACCCCUUAACUCCUCCACACACUCACUCGCCGUGCACCAGCAGCCCCGCAUUUAACGAGGCUAAUGGUACAGAGAGUGACACGAGCACAAACCCCAGCAGUCCUGCUAUAUCGCAACUUACUGAGGAGGCCAAUGUAGAGGAGAAAGCGACAGCAGCUGAACCUGCUACCUCACCCCCAAACACAAACAUCCCUUCCAUUUCUACUUCCACAGCCACAUCAACGUCCAAUUCCACUUCCACUGUCGUCCUCUCCUCUCCUCCCUCUUCAUCCCCUGCUCCACUGCCCCCUAACAUCCCUGUGAUCAGUCUGGCUCACAGUAAACCCCCUCUGCCCCCGAUCCCCAUAACUGCUGCUCAGCUCACCGCACUCCACCCAAUACCCACAGUGCCACACGGACCUGGGGAGCUCCGACUGGCACAGCUAGCCGCCUUCUCUGGGGGUCCGACAGCCACGGUGCCUCCACCGAGAGCUCUCCUGCCUCACCAAUACCUGCCUGGACACCCUUUACUCAAUAGCGCUUUUCUUAGUCCCUCCAGUAGUUAUGGUUUCUUCAGCAACAACCGUGUUAAGAGAAGACCAUCAUCCCACUUUGAAUUGGAUCUCACUGAUUGUCCUCCUCAGAAGCUGGCCAGGCGUGUUUUCACGAACAGCCGUGAGCGCUGGCGUCAACAGAAUGUGAACGGUGCUUUCUCGGAGCUCCGAAAGCUCAUCCCCACACACCCACCAGACAAGAAGCUGAGCAAGAAUGAGAUCCUGCGGCUUGCUAUGAAGUACAUCAACUUUCUGGUGAAGCUGCUGAAUGACCAAGCCAAUGACAGCACCGCACACAGCCUAACGGACAGCACCGAGGAGGACACGAGCAAGAUGAAAGGUGCAAACCAAACGAUGGGGAAUGGCGACAGAGACUGCAGUCAUGUCCUGCACCCGGACAGCACCUCGCCAUCUCAGAUCACGCCGCCACCUCCUGCAGUUCGCCUGGCGUUAGUCACUUCCCACCGUAACAGAGACUCCACUGAUUCAGUCAUCGCUUUGACUGCAUCGCCCGGCUCCAGUUGCUAUGGCGACACAGACAGCGAGGAGACUAUAGGCUCACAGAAUUCAGGGAUUGUUAAGACGAGUAUUAGUGAAGGGAUGAUGGAAAAGAUGAAGGAACAGAUACAGACUGUUAUGGCGGGUGGAUACCACCGAUGACAUCACCUGUGACAUCAUGUUGAAACACUGAAGCACAAACUGACAAAAAGAGGAACAACUGGCCAAAGGUCAUAGGCCAUCCAAGAUGGCUGCCUGUCUAGAGCUGCAUACAUGGUGUCCAGGAAGCAGUGUUCAGUUGGUGCUGUCUCAUCAGCAGCCAGCCCACUUCCUGACACAGAUCAUGGGAAGGAGCUUACGGAAAAAAAACUAAUGAAAAAUGAAAAUCACCACCAAGCGGUUUCUCUGACAACACACACCACAUCCCACAAGGAAGGGAAACUUGCAUAAGUGUGUAACAAGGCCGCAAGGGAGCCACAGCCUCUGUUUCUCAUCCUGAGUAUCAUUUUAGAUGGGGAUGUUAUCAUUUUAGCUGAGUUGUUAAGUAGGCAAUGAGGACAGCUUGUGCCCCCUCCAUCUCUAGACUCUGAUACUGUAUGAAAAGCUCUAGGGGGGCUGUAGUGGGGGCGGCGGAGUGGUCUGUACUGCAGAGAUAAACCUCCCUGCUGGUGCCCUCCGUGCCCUGGAGCAAAGCAUUGUGGGCACCACACCCUCGUUGCUGGCACAGUGCUGGGCCACCUGCUACAUUUCAUAAUUCCUGCUGUGGUUACUGCAGUUACGACAUCCCUGAUGACACGGAGCACUUCCUCUGGCCAGGGUCACAUGCCACAAAGAGACACACACACACACACACAUAUAGUGCUACACUGGAAAAAAACAGUCAAACAGAGCUGGAAAACAGGGUCAAAGGGUCAGCUGUUUAUAUAUAAUAUGUUGCGUUGCAAACAACAUAAAUGCUAUAAUUACUUUCUAACUACUUACGGAUUUCAGCUGGUUCCUUGCUUUACCUUGCCUUGGAGAACUGCUUUUUCUUAGCGUGUUCAAUACUUUUUUCCCCGUGUCAUUCCACUUUAUUACACAUAACUUUAUUUAUGGACUUCAAUGUUGUGAAUUUCUUGAGUAAAUACCAAAGUCUGGUGACAAUUUCAUGUGAAUAGCCUCAUUGGAAAUAUAUUUACUGAAGAAAAUAUUGACGCGUUCAAUACUGAUUUCCCCCACUGUGUAUUAAAAGCAGCCGACCACUGAAUCUGAUAUGACUUGGAGCUGUUUCAGUGUAAUACAAAGCAGUGCAAUAAAUGCGAUACAUUGGUGGGAAGUCCACCAUAAAGUGUUUUGGGUUUUGUGUUGUUUUUUUUUUUUUGAUGUAAACAAACCUUAUAGUUGUACAUUACUUUUUUCCAGUAUGACCACCAUAUUGAAAAACAUCAGGCAUACAGGAAAAACCCAUCCUGAAUGACUUUCAUACUAAUCUUUAUACUUAGCACGUGAAUUCUUUAUUGGCAUCCAAUAGUUAUUUUGUAACGAACUUAUGAGUUUAAACAUCAUUCAUCGGCAUAGACCUUUAGUCUUUUCCAGCUCUCUCACCUCCUCAUCUGUACGCUCUGCACAAACAGAUCAGCUUCCAAAGCUUCAACUUUCAUGCUAAUACCACCGUCAACACCAUCAUCUCAUAAACUGAUUACUAGCCAAACCAAGUCUCUGCUGUCCCCUUGGCCUCGAUUCUAAAUAGAUGGCGUAUUUUAAAAGAGAAAAGAAAACCAUCCUGUGUGUAAAUAAAUAUAAACAAAUAUGAAUCAUUGAAGUGUAUGAUACAAUUAUGUAGAUUAAGAUGUUGUCUCCUUAGCAUCACACUGUACAGUAUUUGCUUAAGAACGCAACACAGUUUUCCACUGACAAAAACACCCUGUAGUGCUACUGCUAAUAUUCUUUCUAUCUGUGGCAGCAUACCAUCAUGGGUUUAUUAAUCAUCAGACGGAUUUAAAUCCUAACUUUUGCAUACAGUUAGCAACAGCCUUCUCUUAUUCAGCAAAUAAAAAAGUUUUAAGUGGUUAUGGGGCACAAUUUCCAGUCUCCCCUCAACUUGUUAUUUUAAGUAGAAAGAUAUG